Molecule: non-coding RNA, 365 nt
Organism: Pelobates cultripes (western spadefoot toad)
Lineage: Eukaryota; Metazoa; Chordata; Amphibia; Anura; Pelobatidae
Source: the annotation of a GenBank genome assembly
UUUGGAGAACCACCAACCCGUUCACCUAGGACUUGUACCAGAAGAAGACAACUUGGCCUGCAACAGAUACUCUUGUUUAUAUAGCCAGGUGGACAAAGCACAGUGUAUGUGGAAACUUUACUUCCAAUGGGUUUCAGAGAUACAACCAGGGCAGGAGAUGCUAUUGAUGGUUCAAUGAUGUUAUGGGAUGACAGUGGGAGCACGAAUAACCAACAGAAUCCUCCCCCCCUCAUUAUAAUGUUGCAUCAUUCAUAACAGUUAUCCACUAAAGAAUGCUUUCAGAGAAAUGGAAUGGGUUGGUGAGUGCUGACAACUACCUUUAAAAACUAGCUAAUUUUCAGAAUCCUAAAUCAUAUCAAGCUCCC